CAUGAAGCCGGAAUCGCUAGUAAUCGCGGAUCAGAAUGCCGCGGUGAAUACGUUCCCGGGUCUUGUACACACCGCCCGUCACACCAUGGGAGUCGGAAAUGCCCGAAGCCGGUGACCCAACCCGAAAGGGAGGGAGCCGUCGAAGGCAGGUCGGAUGACUGGGGUGAAGUCGUAACAAGGUAAC
RNAcentral lists this ribosomal RNA (184 nucleotides) under uncultured bacterium. RNAcentral's name for it is "partial 16S ribosomal RNA". It matches the Rfam family "Bacterial small subunit ribosomal RNA", at positions 1319 to 1500 of the family's 1533-position model. The record is from RNAcentral.